GAUGAACGCUGGCGGCGUGCCUAAUACAUGCAAGUCGAGCGAACAGAUAAGGAGCUUGCUCCUUUGACGUUAGCGGCGGACGGGUGAGUAACACGUGGGUAACCUACCUAUAAGACUGGAAUAACUCCGGGAAACCGGGGCUAAUGCAGGAUAACAUGUUGAACCGCAUGGUUCUACAGUGAAAGGCGGCUUUGCUGCCACUUAUAGAUGGACCCGCGCCGUAUUAGCUAGUUGGUGAGGUAACGGCUCACCAAGGCAACGAUACGUAGCCGACCUGAGAGGGUGAUCGGCCACACUGGAACUGAGACACGGUCCAGACUCCUACGGGAGGCAGCAGUAGGGAAUCUUCCGCAAUGGGCGAAAGCCUGACGGAGCAACGCCGCGUGAGUGAUGAAGGUCUUCGGAUCGUAAAACUCUGUUAUUAGGGAAGAACAAAUGCGUAAGUAACUGUGCGCGUCUUGACGGUACCUAAUCAGAAAGCCACGGCUAACUACGUG
Molecule: ribosomal RNA, 497 nt
Filed under: uncultured bacterium
Lineage: Bacteria
Description: partial 16S ribosomal RNA
Rfam family: Bacterial small subunit ribosomal RNA
Source: RNAcentral